This 222-nucleotide ribosomal RNA is filed under the name uncultured bacterium. RNAcentral's name for it is "partial 16S ribosomal RNA". It matches the Rfam family "Bacterial small subunit ribosomal RNA", at positions 28 to 247 of the family's 1533-position model. The record is from RNAcentral.
GACGAACGCUGGCGGCGUGCUUAACACAUGCAAGUCACGGGGGUCUCGCAAGAGAGAACCGGCGAACGGGUGCGCAACACGUGAACAACCUGCCGUUGUGAGGGGGAUAGCCGGGCUAACGCCCGGGUAAUACCGCAUACGCUGCCCGAGGGGAGUCCCUUGGGGAGGAAAGCCAUGGCGCAAGCGAUGGCGCACGACGAGGGGUUCGCGGCCUAUCAGCUA